AACAAACUUUAGCAUCACAUAGUUUAAAAAUGUGUCAUUUUAAAUGUACACUAAAAUUGCAUUUUAUUUCUUUCUAGUCAAACAAAAGCUCUCUGAAUGAAGAUUCAGAGAUUUCGUGGGCUUUGUCUAAAUUCAAAGUGCCCUCUACUGUCAAAAAUGUGUACUACUGAGAAAGAGAAAAUCUGACAAGUCUGAAAUAAAAAUCUAGACAGUGAGAGACAGAUGGAAGAAAACCAGGAAAGGUAUGCACAAAGAAGAAAUGCUUGACACAUGGAAGAAUUUUUUUAGUUUUGGGACUGUGUUAUAGAAGAAGUUAUGAAGAAAACAGUGAAUGAGUUUGGCAUAUGAAGAGGACACUCUUGUAAAUGAAGCAUUAUCCUCAGAGAUUUUCUUGGCUGAAAAUGCAUCAUCAAUGAUCAGUUCAAGAGGAAGCCUUAAUAGAAGGAUGCAUGAAAUCUUGGUGGUUGAGAUUUGGCAAGAUCAAUGUGAUAGCCAAGGUAAGAGUAUUGUUUAUCAAAUUGAGUCAUAUUUAGA
RNAcentral lists this long non-coding RNA (534 nucleotides) under Bos grunniens (domestic yak). RNAcentral describes it as "lncRNA (ENSBGRG00000018329.1)". Lineage: Eukaryota; Metazoa; Chordata; Mammalia; Artiodactyla; Bovidae. The record is from RNAcentral.